Molecule: long non-coding RNA, 982 nt
Filed under: Vombatus ursinus (common wombat)
Lineage: Eukaryota; Metazoa; Chordata; Mammalia; Diprotodontia; Vombatidae
Description: lncRNA (ENSVURG00010009381.1)
Source: RNAcentral
UUUUUGCCCCCUCUCAUUGCCUUCCUCCUUGGUNNNNNNNNNNAGGGGCAAAGGGGGAAGGCCUAAAUCAAAGUUGGAACUCAGCUCCCUGGCCAUAUGAGUGACCCCUCUCUAUAGUCUUUUUUCUUCAACAUAAGGUCUUUAAGCAUUGAGGGGAGAAAGAGAAGGGCAGGGAGAGGAGGUAUAGUAGAACAGUGGAUUGGAAGUCAGGACACCAGGCUUCUAGUCCCUUGAUCUGCUACUAAUCCAUUCUAUGAACACGAGCUUGUCACCAGCUAAUGUUUUUAUAUCUGUAAAAUGAAAGGGUUGGGCUUUUAUGGUCUGUAAUGUCCUUGACCAUAUUUAAAUCUGUGAGCCUGUAGGGAUGAAAAGAAGGCAAUAGUUAUUGGUGUAAGCUGAGAGAGAGGCUCUCUGAUUUCUGGGGCUCUUGUCCUUUAAAUCCUAUUUAUCCCGUGGUUGUAUCUAAGGCAAGGUGGGCUGGCGCCCCAGGGUCAGGAAAUGUCCAGUCUCUGACUCUGUGCUCAGUACUUUUCUUUCAAAAUCCUUAUGAGAGAUUUGGGAAAGAGCUCUGCUGUUAUGGAGGAUAUGGAUCUGUGGACUAGGGAAGCUACUGAAUAGUGGGAGGUAGGGGAGGUGGGUUACUAUCUACCCUCUGCUGUCAAUGACUCUAAGCAUGUUCCAGGUGAGAAGAUGACUGAAUCAGAAGUAGAACAGCUGAUGGCUGGACAGGAGGAUGCGAAUGGCUGCAUUAACUAUGAAGCCUUUGUCAAACACAUCAUGUCUGGAUGAAUUGGGACCUUCGGGGUACAAGGUGGCCUUCUAUUGCUGACACUGCAUCAGAAGUGAGUGAACCCUUGGAACAACUGUGGAACUGGAGUCAGAGGGACCCAGGCCGGUCACCCCGUUACAGUUAUGAGAAGCUCCUCAGCUUACCAGCCACCUCUGUAAAUAAACAACCAGGCACUAUCGUAUAUAACAGCUU